Aspergillus arachidicola is the source of this 85-nucleotide non-coding RNA. The record is from the annotation of a GenBank genome assembly. NCBI's taxonomy places the organism in Eukaryota, Fungi, Ascomycota, Eurotiomycetes, Eurotiales, Aspergillaceae.
GCGCUGGUCGUCUAGUGGUUAGGACAUUGUCUUCCCAAGCUCAGAGGAAGAGGCAGGUACGCGGGUUCGAAUCCCGCCCGGCGCA